RNAcentral lists this long non-coding RNA (974 nucleotides) under Helianthus annuus (common sunflower). RNAcentral describes it as "hypothetical non coding rna". Lineage: Eukaryota; Viridiplantae; Streptophyta; Magnoliopsida; Asterales; Asteraceae. The record is from RNAcentral.
GUGUGCGAUCGAGAAGGAUAGGGCAGGGGAGACUUUCCCCUCAAAACCCUAGCAAAUUAUCACCAAAUUGAGAGGCUUAAAGGAUGAAAUUGUUAUGCAUGGGCUAGGAACUUUGAUUACUUAAGUGUUCUUGACAUCAAACAUGAAUGCACGAAGAAAGAAGAAAGCGCGAGUCAUUCGAAGUCACAAGCAACGCAAGACCACGGUAAGUUCAUAUGAACUUCAUUUAUCUUUUAUGUAGAUUUUACAAAUGGUAAUUCUAGAAUUAAAGCCUUAGUGUAAAGUGUAUGUGGUUCAUGUUAAAAAUUGUGAUAAGUAAAGUAUCGAAAGAUGAAUAGAGAUGCAAUGUCAAUGGUCAUGUAAUGAUUCGCUUCAAGCGGGUCAAAAUGUUGGAAAGUGUAAUUUUGGAAUGGUUUAUGUAAAGACUUGUUGAUAACGGGUCGAAUUGAAGAAAAAGUGUUAAAGAUAUGGCGUAGGUCUCGACCCAUUAUGUAGGGGUUGAUAAGUUUAUAUGUUGAAUGUUUUCGAAAGAAACGUAAAAGAGCAAAAAGAAAUUUAUGUUAGAAUUGAAAAAAAUGAUUUACUAUAAGGAUGCUGACAAGAUGAUGAAUUUAUAAACGGGUCGAAUAAUGACAAGAAAAUGAAAGUCUUGAAUUUUGUUUGGCUAAUAGAACUAAUAAAUGUAUUGGUGUUUUGAAUGAUAGGUAUAUCCCACUCAUGAUGAUGCGAGCUCGGAUCGAACACACCACACUACAUCGCCCUUUAUGCGCUUCCGGUUAAAGUCGUCUUUUGUAAAUGGGUCAAAACUCUUUCAUAAUGUAAAUAUUAAAUUUAUGUCUUAUGAAGUGUGUCAUAGAACUUAGUUGAAUGAUGAUUGUUAAAAACAGGGAAUUGUUUAUAGUACGAACGGGUCAUGCCCAAUUUUUGUAAAAUUAAUAUGUCAUUGUCAUUAUUUUCGAAUGUGAAAAAAAUGG